This 814-nucleotide ribosomal RNA is filed under the name Enterococcus faecium. RNAcentral describes it as "bacterial SSU rRNA". It matches the Rfam family "Bacterial small subunit ribosomal RNA", at positions 136 to 935 of the family's 1533-position model. Lineage: Bacteria; Bacillati; Bacillota; Bacilli; Lactobacillales; Enterococcaceae. The record is from RNAcentral.
GAAGGGGAUAACACUUGGAAACAGGUGCUAAUACCGUAUAACAAUCAAAACCGCAUGGUUUUGAUUUGAAAGGCGCUUUCGGGUGUCGCUGAUGGAUGGACCCGCGGUGCAUUAGCUAGUUGGUGAGGUAACGGCUCACCAAGGCCACGAUGCAUAGCCGACCUGAGAGGGUGAUCGGCCACAUUGGGACUGAGACACGGCCCAAACUCCUACGGGAGGCAGCAGUAGGGAAUCUUCGGCAAUGGACGAAAGUCUGACCGAGCAACGCCGCGUGAGUGAAGAAGGUUUUCGGAUCGUAAAACUCUGUUGUUAGAGAAGAACAAGGAUGAGAGUAACUGUUCAUCCCUUGACGGUAUCUAACCAGAAAGCCACGGCUAACUACGUGCCAGCAGCCGCGGUAAUACGUAGGUGGCAAGCGUUGUCCGGAUUUAUUGGGCGUAAAGCGAGCGCAGGCGGUUUCUUAAGUCUGAUGUGAAAGCCCCCGGCUCAACCGGGGAGGGUCAUUGGAAACUGGGAGACUUGAGUGCAGAAGAGGAGAGUGGAAUUCCAUGUGUAGCGGUGAAAUGCGUAGAUAUAUGGAGGAACACCAGUGGCGAAGGCGGCUCUCUGGUCUGUAACUGACGCUGAGGCUCGAAAGCGUGGGGAGCAAACAGGAUUAGAUACCCUGGUAGUCCACGCCGUAAACGAUGAGUGCUAAGUGUUGGAGGGUUUCCGCCCUUCAGUGCUGCAGCUAACGCAUUAAGCACUCCGCCUGGGGAGUACGACCGCAAGGUUGAAACUCAAAGGAAUUGACGGGGGCCCGCACAAGCGGUGG